RNAcentral lists this ribosomal RNA (465 nucleotides) under Vreelandella stevensii. RNAcentral's name for it is "partial 16S ribosomal RNA". It matches the Rfam family "Bacterial small subunit ribosomal RNA", at positions 338 to 795 of the family's 1533-position model. Lineage: Bacteria; Pseudomonadati; Pseudomonadota; Gammaproteobacteria; Oceanospirillales; Halomonadaceae. The record is from RNAcentral.
CCUACGGGUGGCAGCAGUGGGGAAUAUUGGACAAUGGGGGGAACCCUGAUCCAGCCAUGCCGCGUGUGUGAAGAAGGCCCUCGGGUUGUAAAGCACUUUCAGUGAGGAAGAACGCCUGGUGGUUAAUACCCAUCAGGAAAGACAUCACUCACAGAAGAAGCACCGGCUAACUCCGUGCCAGCAGCCGCGGUAAUACGGAGGGUGCGAGCGUUAAUCGGAAUUACUGGGCGUAAAGCGCGCGUAGGUGGCUUGAUAAGCCGGUUGUGAAAGCCCCGGGCUCAACCUGGGAACGGCAUCCGGAACUGUCAAGCUAGAGUGCAGGAGAGGAAGGUAGAAUUCCCGGUGUAGCGGUGAAAUGCGUAGAGAUCGGGAGGAAUACCAGUGGCGAAGGCGGCCUUCUGGACUGACACUGACACUGAGGUGCGAAAGCGUGGGUAGCAAACAGGAUUAGAUACCCUUGUGGUC